RNAcentral lists this ribosomal RNA (122 nucleotides) under Kribbella catacumbae. The record is from RNAcentral. Lineage: Bacteria; Bacillati; Actinomycetota; Actinomycetes; Propionibacteriales; Kribbellaceae.
AGUUACGGUGACCAUAGCGUCGGGGAAACACCCAGUCUCCAUUCCGAACCUGGAAGUUAAGCCCGACAGCGCCGAUGGUACUGCGACCGGGAGGUCGUGGGAGAGUAGGACGUCGCCGGACA